This 385-nucleotide ribosomal RNA is filed under the name uncultured bacterium. Its description in RNAcentral is "bacterial SSU rRNA". It matches the Rfam family "Bacterial small subunit ribosomal RNA", at positions 28 to 409 of the family's 1533-position model. The record is from RNAcentral.
GAUGAACGCUAGCGGCAGGCUUAACACAUGCAAGUCGAGGGGCAGCGCGAUGUAGCAAUACAUUGGCGGCGACCGGCGCACGGGUGCGUAACACGUAUGGAACUUACCCUUUACUGGGAGAUAGCCCGGAGAAAUCCGGAUUAAUAUCCCAUAAUAAACGAAGUGGCAUCACUUUGUUUUGAAAGCUCCGGCGGUAAAGGAUGGCCAUGCGCACGAUUAGCUAGUAGGUGAGGUAACGGCUCACCUAGGCUACGAUCGUUAGGGGGUGUGAGAGCAUGACCCCCCCANAUGGGUACUGAGACACGGACCCAACUCCUACGGGAGGCAGCAGUAAGGAAUAUGGACAAUGGACGAAAGUCUGAUCCAGCCAUGCCGCGUGCAGGAU